AGCCCGAAUUACUCCCCAACAAGUCCGACUUACUCGCCUACCAGUCCAUCAUACUCACCCACAUCUCCGAGUUACAGCCCAACAUCUCCUAGCUACAGUCCUACAUCACCAAGCUACAGCCCUACAUCUCCUAGUUAUAGUCCUACAUCACCAAGUUACAGCCCCACCUCACCAGUUUAUAGCCCUACAUCUCCAGCAUACAGCCCUACAUCUCCCGCAUAUAGCCCCACAUCACCAUCUUACAGUCCAACUUCGCCAUCUUAUAGCCCUACAUCACCAUCAUACAGCCCAACAUCCCCCUCAUACAGCCCUACCUCCCCCUCAUACAGCCCUACCUCCCCCUCAUACAGCCCUACCUCCCCCUCGUACAGCCCAACAUCACCUGCAUACAGCCCUACUUCGCCAGGAUACAGCCCAACAUCACCGAGCUACAGUCCUACUUCUCCGAGCUACAGUCCUAC
This 461-nucleotide long non-coding RNA is filed under the name Sorghum bicolor (sorghum). RNAcentral's name for it is "long non-coding RNA (SBIC_LNC011641)". The record is from RNAcentral. Lineage: Eukaryota; Viridiplantae; Streptophyta; Magnoliopsida; Poales; Poaceae.